ACUGGAGUCAAAGGGCACUCUGCUUCCCCGCGCGCUCCCCUCCCCUCUGCACUCCCGCCCCCAAUAUAUACUCUUUGUUGCCUGACCUAAGUCACUUCUGCCUUCUCCGUUGCCUCGGACCCUGCCCCCCAUCAUGCCACUCCCCAGGUCAAGCCUAGUGUCCUCCAGAAGCCUCAAGGGGUAGCCUGAGCCUUGGGCAAGAGGCAAGGGGGCUAGCCUGGGCUGGCAGCGGCAGGAGGUCUCACCGCCUGGUGCCCGCUGGGUUAGACUGUGGUUACAAGGAAGAGGAGAUCCCAGAACUGGAGAUUGACGUGGAUGAGCUCCUGGACAUGGAGAGUGACGAUGCCCGGGCUGCCAGGGUCAAGGUGAGGGGGCUGGGGGGCGAUGGGUUGCCUGAGGCACUGCCCCGGGAAAGUGAGGCUGUGGAGCCAGGCCCUCAAGCCCCAGCUCCUGCCUCAACAGAAUGGGGCCAAUGCCUAGCUGUGAGGUUGUUGUGGCAUCUCCUGUGCCUCAGGGUGGCCCCAGUCUCUUGGAAGUGGGUAUAGGCGAGCUCCAGGCCCCCACUCCUGAGGACUCACUUAUCCUUCCUCCCCCAUCCUCUGCUAGGAGCUGCUGGUUGACUGUUACAAA
This 630-nucleotide long non-coding RNA is filed under the name Pan troglodytes (chimpanzee). Its description in RNAcentral is "long non-coding RNA NONPTRT003077". Lineage: Eukaryota; Metazoa; Chordata; Mammalia; Primates; Hominidae. The record is from RNAcentral.